ACGGAAGGCAGCAGUGGGGGAUAUUGCACAAUGGGGGCAACCCUGAACCUGCGACGCCGCGUGAGUGAAGAAGUAUUUCGGUAUGUAAAGCUCUAUCAGCAGGGAAGAUAAUGACAGUACCUGACUAAGAAGCACCGGCUAAAUACGUGCCAGCAGCCGCGGUAAUACGUAUGGUGCAAGCGUUAUCUGGAUUUACUGGGUGUAAAGGGAGCGUAGGCGGUUUGGCAAGUCUGAUGUGAAACCCCGGGGCUUAACCCCGAGCAUGCAUUUGAAACUGUCGGACUAGAGUGUCGGAGAGGAAAGCGGAAUUCCUAGUGUAGCGGUGAAAUGCGUAGAUAUUAGGAGGAACACCAGUGGCGAAGGCGGCUUUCUGGACGAUAACUGACGCUGAGGCUCGAAAGCGUGGGGAGCAAACAGGAUUAGAUACCCUGGUA
Molecule: ribosomal RNA, 434 nt
Filed under: uncultured Lachnospiraceae bacterium
Lineage: Bacteria; Bacillati; Bacillota; Clostridia; Lachnospirales; Lachnospiraceae
Description: partial 16S ribosomal RNA
Rfam family: Bacterial small subunit ribosomal RNA
Source: RNAcentral